Chelonoidis abingdonii (Abingdon island giant tortoise) is the source of this 436-nucleotide non-coding RNA. The record is from RefSeq and is a predicted model, not a curated record. NCBI's taxonomy places the organism in Eukaryota, Metazoa, Chordata, Testudines, Testudinidae.
GGAGUGCUGUCAGCCUUGCACCUUGCUAUCAAAACCAUCUCCCAGUGCAUCAGUGAGAGUCUUUUCAUUGACCUAAAUGUGGACUGGGUCAGGCCCUUCGUGACCUCUAAGUUAAUUCACACACAGUGCUGAGAAAUAAGGGGAGGUAUCAUGAAGAUAACUGAGGCAAGGAGUCAUAGGCACCAUGAAAGGAAAUCCUGAGGAAGGGUCUAACUUGGGAAGAAGUGGCUGAGAUGGCCUCUUCAGCUUUGAAGUGUCACCCCCAGUGCAGUGCUGGAUUUGAUGUGCUGGAUUUUCAUAUCUUUGUUCAGGAAGUGUUCCCGAACUGACAUGGAUCAACCCAGACUUCAUUACCAGGCAAAAAUAAUCAACUGAUCAGGUAUACAUGAACAACGUUACCAAGAAGACUCCCUCACAUAAAUGAAUUGUACAGGUA